RNAcentral lists this transfer RNA (69 nucleotides) under Ictidomys tridecemlineatus (thirteen-lined ground squirrel). RNAcentral's name for it is "Spermophilus tridecemlineatus (thirteen-lined ground squirrel) tRNA". It matches the Rfam family "tRNA". Rfam says of the family: Transfer RNA (tRNA) molecules are approximately 80 nucleotides in length. Their secondary structure includes four short double-helical elements and three loops (D, anti-codon, and T loops). The record is from Rfam by way of RNAcentral. Lineage: Eukaryota; Metazoa; Chordata; Mammalia; Rodentia; Sciuridae.
GGAAUUGUAGCUCAGUGGUAGAGCACUCGCCUAGUAUGUGUAAGGCACUGGGCUCAAUUCUCAGCACCA